RNAcentral lists this long non-coding RNA (303 nucleotides) under Anolis carolinensis (green anole). RNAcentral's name for it is "lncRNA (ENSACAG00000034934.1)". Lineage: Eukaryota; Metazoa; Chordata; Lepidosauria; Squamata; Anolidae. The record is from RNAcentral.
GGCUGGUCUCAGAUAGCAUCAAUUCUCCCAUGUAGAUGCACCUUGUGAUCUUUAUUAUGUGUUAUGUGUAUCCCCAAAAAACACAAUCCUAACUUUUCCUCCUUGUUUCCUUAGUGGUGAUCAAAUGCUCUCGGGCUCCCCUAGUACUACUGGAACCAGAAUCGGGAGUCCGUAUCGACUCAGUAUCCACGACGCCAACCAGCCGCAACCUGCGUAGAAGAAGAAGAUGUCAACGAAGAAGAUGAGAACUUCCUAGUCCAGAAUAUCCUCAGUCUCCCCGUCUGGAGGCUCGAGCCACGCAGC